AUUGAACGCUGGCGGCAGGCCUAACACAUGCAAGUCGAGCGGAUGAAGUGAGCUUGCUCCUGGAUUCAGCGGCGUACGGGUGAGUAAUGCCUAGGAAUCUGCCUGGUAGUGGGGGAUAACGUCCGGAAACGGGCGCUAAUACCGCAUACGUCCUGAGUGAGAAAGUGGGGGAUCUUCGGACCUCACGCUAUCAGAUGAGCCUAGGUCGGAUUAGCUAGUUGGUGGGGUAAAGGCCUACCAAGGCGACGAUCCGUAACUGGUCUGAGAGGAUGAUCAGUCACACUGGAACUGAGACACGGUCCAGACUCCUACGGGAGGCAGCAGUGGGGAAUAUUGGACAAUGGGCGAAAGCCUGAUCCAGCCAUGCCGCGUGUGUGAAGAAGGUCUUCGGAUUGUAAAGCACUUUAAGUUGGGAGGAAGGGCAGUAAGUUAAUACCUUGCUGUUUUGACGUUACCAACAGAAUAAGCACCGGCUAACUUCGUG
RNAcentral lists this ribosomal RNA (484 nucleotides) under uncultured bacterium. RNAcentral describes it as "partial 16S ribosomal RNA". It matches the Rfam family "Bacterial small subunit ribosomal RNA", at positions 30 to 507 of the family's 1533-position model. The record is from RNAcentral.